GUGCCAGCCGCCGCGGUAAUACGGGGGGAGCAAGCGUUGUUCGGAUUUACUGGGCGUAAAGGGCGCGUAGGCGGCCUCCGCAAGUCAGUUGUGAAAUCUCCGAGCUUAACUCGGAAAGGUCAACUGAUACUGCGGGGCUAGAGUGCGGAAGGGGCAACUGGAAUUCUUGGUGUAGCGGUGAAAUGCGUAGAUAUCAAGAGGAACACCUGCGGCGAAGGCGGGUUGCUGGGCCGACACUGACGCUGAGGCGCGAAAGCUAGGGGAGCGAACGGGAUUAGAUACCCCCGUAGUCC
Molecule: ribosomal RNA, 293 nt
Filed under: uncultured bacterium
Lineage: Bacteria
Description: partial 16S ribosomal RNA
Rfam family: Bacterial small subunit ribosomal RNA
Source: RNAcentral